CAAAUCAAGCUUGCAAUAGCAAGAAUCAGAGUCAUAGACUAUCAGUGCAAGUAACAGAUGAAUCUCCCAGGAAACCCCUGUUAAGAACUGAGUGGAGCAUUGCUAAGGGCUUAUGCAAGUGUUCCUCUGCAGAAUCAGGCCAGAUUCCCACCUGAAGGUUCAAGGAUGGCCUUUUCUGCAUCUGUGUUCUGAGUCUGUUGGAGAAGCUGUCCAUACAGCUGCUCAGUACUGCUGCUGCCUAGCACUGUGCAUCGGCCUCCACAUCAACUGUGUAGUGAUUUUAGUGCCAUUUCUGAAAUCUCAGAAGAAACAACUUCCUGGCCUAAAUAAACUUUUGUUUAAAAAAGAUAACAAAGAAUUUAAAAUGAAAGAAAGACAGCUCUGUAGGAAUUUUCUGUAAGAAUAGGGGUCUCCUUAUUAAAGGUAUUUGAGAGGUCA
Cyanistes caeruleus (blue tit) is the source of this 438-nucleotide long non-coding RNA. RefSeq lists it as uncharacterized. Lineage: Eukaryota; Metazoa; Chordata; Aves; Passeriformes; Paridae. The record is from RefSeq and is a predicted model, not a curated record.